RNAcentral lists this ribosomal RNA (484 nucleotides) under uncultured bacterium. Its description in RNAcentral is "partial 16S ribosomal RNA". It matches the Rfam family "Bacterial small subunit ribosomal RNA", at positions 29 to 507 of the family's 1533-position model. The record is from RNAcentral.
AUUGAACGCUGGCGGCAUGCUUUACACAUGCAAGUCGAACGGCAGCGCGGGCUUCGGCCUGGCGGCGAGUGGCGAACGGGUGAGUAAUACAUCGGAACGUGCCCAGUAGUGGGGGAUAGCUCGGCGAAAGCAGGAUUAAUACCGCAUACGACCUGAGGGUGAAAGCGGGGGAUCUUCGGACCUCGCGCUAUUGGAGCGGCCGAUGGCAGAUUAGCUAGUUGGUGGGGUAAAGGCCUACCAAGGCGACGAUCUGUAGCUGGUCUGAGAGGACGACCAGCCACACUGGGACUGAGACACGGCCCAGACUCCUACGGGAGGCAGCAGUGGGGAAUUUUGGACAAAGGGCGAAAGCCUGAUCCAGCAAUGCCGCGUGUGUGAUGAAGGCCUUCGGGUUGUAAAGCACUUUUGGCGGGAACGAAAAGGACUGUGCCAAUACCACGGUUCGAUGACGGUACCCGCAGAAUAAGCACCGGCUAACUACGUG